RNAcentral lists this ribosomal RNA (238 nucleotides) under uncultured bacterium. RNAcentral describes it as "partial 16S ribosomal RNA". It matches the Rfam family "Bacterial small subunit ribosomal RNA", at positions 17 to 236 of the family's 1533-position model. The record is from RNAcentral.
GUAUGGCUCAGGAUGAACGCUGGCGGCGUGCUUAACACAUGCAAGUCGAGCGAAGCGCUUAAGUUUGAUUCUUCGGAUGAAUUCUUUUGUGACUGAGCGGCGGACGGGUGAGUAACGCGUGGGUAACCUGCCUCAUACAGGGGGAUAACAGUUAGAAAUGACUGCUAAUACCGCAUAAGACCACGGUACUGCAUGGUACAGUAGGUAAAACUCCGGUGGUAUGAGAUCGGACCCGCGU